This 301-nucleotide ribosomal RNA is filed under the name uncultured bacterium. RNAcentral describes it as "partial 16S ribosomal RNA". It matches the Rfam family "Bacterial small subunit ribosomal RNA", at positions 509 to 807 of the family's 1533-position model. The record is from RNAcentral.
CAGUAGCCACGGUAAAACGUAGGGUGCAAGCGUUAAUCGGAAUUACUGGGCGUAAAGCGUGCGCAGGCGGUUAUAUAAGACAGAUGUGAAAUCCCCGGGCUCAACCUGGGAACUGCAUUUGUGACUGUAUAGCUAGAGUACGGCAGAGGGGGAUGGAAUUCCGCGUGUAGCAGUGAAAUGCGUAGAUAUGCGGAGGAACACCGAUGGCGAAGGCAAUCCCCUGGGCCUGUACUGACGCUCAUGCACGAAAGCGUGGGGAGCAAACAGGAUUAGAUACCCCUGUAGUCCCUGUCUCUUAUAC